AACUUCAAAGGAAUUUCAGAUUUGGGUUUAUCUCCUUCUCCUCUCACCACACAAAAGGGAGCUCCACGGAAGAUGGAAGAAGCAGUCCACGAUAGUGCAUAGGACUCAGCGGGAUACCAAUCCAUCCUCCCUUAUUGUGAGGUGGUUGGGUUGGAUCUGGUGGAUGAUGAAAGAAAACCCGAACGAUGCCCCACAAAACAUAUGCCUGCACCAGAACAGUGGACCAACAUCUUCAAUCCUGCGUUUUCAUACUAUGCAUAUUGCUGUUAUGCUAACCUCUACACCCUGAACAAGGCUGCUGCUGAGGCUCAGAAAUCAAGUGGAAUUCAGCAGGGUUCUGUUGAAGCUAGGAAGAACAAUGCAAAAAUUCAACAGCAUGGAGGGUAUAUUUCAAUAAUGUACAAUCGGAAAUAAGUCUAUUGGAAGACAUGUUAAAUGGAGUAUUCAGGCUUCUGAGUCGGCAAACGAAGAUUACAUGCAUGUAGAGCACGAAGAGGACAGACUACUAACAAUCAUUAUCUAGCAGAAAGGGUUAGGAGAGGAAAAACCAGUGAGAGGAUGAAAUUUCUUCAAGGCCUUGUACCUGGUUGCAGCAAGGUGAUUUAUGUACCUACUAUCCCGUGUUCCGGGGGAAUAUAUAGCCUUAUUGUAUAUCGGUACCGUUUCAUGUAUGAAUAUUCUGGCUACUUCACCAGUGUUUUCUUCAAAAUCUUGAACUUAUGUUUCUCGUGUA
Molecule: long non-coding RNA, 733 nt
Organism: Spinacia oleracea (spinach)
Lineage: Eukaryota; Viridiplantae; Streptophyta; Magnoliopsida; Caryophyllales; Amaranthaceae
Exons: 6
Source: RefSeq, a predicted model, not a curated record